RNAcentral lists this ribosomal RNA (254 nucleotides) under uncultured bacterium. RNAcentral's name for it is "partial 16S ribosomal RNA". It matches the Rfam family "Bacterial small subunit ribosomal RNA", at positions 524 to 776 of the family's 1533-position model. The record is from RNAcentral.
GACGAAGGGGGCUAGCGUUGUUCGGAAUUACUGGGCGUAAAGGGCGCGCAGGCGGCUGCUCAAGUCAGGCGUGAAAGGCCUGGGCUCAACCCGGGAAUUGCGCUUGAGACUGGGCUGGCUUGAGUGCGGGAGAGGAUGGUGGAAUUCCCAGUGUAGAGGUGAAAUUCGUAGAUAUUGGGAAGAACACCGGUGGCGAAGGCGGCCAUCUGGACCGCAACUGACGCUGAGGCGCGAAAGCGUGGGGAGCGAUCCGG